GCACACACACACACACACACACACACACACACACACACACACACAUACACACAUUUUGACUUUGAAUUAGAGUGAUCCUCCCACAAUAAUUUAAUCCUGUAACAGAUGUUAUUUCUAAAGAAAUCCAAGACGGAACAACACCUAAUUCAACUCUGCCAGUUGGAGUAUAUUUUACUGU
Octopus sinensis (East Asian common octopus) is the source of this 178-nucleotide long non-coding RNA. RefSeq lists it as uncharacterized. NCBI's taxonomy places the organism in Eukaryota, Metazoa, Mollusca, Cephalopoda, Octopoda, Octopodidae. The record is from RefSeq and is a predicted model, not a curated record. The transcript is spliced from 2 exons.